UGAUCACUAACGUGGCGGGAGCAGGAGACAUAGUGAGGACGAACGUGAAAGGUUCACGGACUGGUUGGAUGAGUUUGAGCAGAAACUGGGGUCAGAACUGGCAAUCUAACGCUGUUUUGGUUGGUCAGUCACUUUCUUUCCGUGUCACAGGCAGUGACCGUAGAACCUCUACUUCAUGGAACAUUGUUCCUUCUAACUGGCAGUUUGGUCAAACAUUUGUCGGGAAGAAUUUCAGGGUCUAAAAGCGAGUUUCGAGACGGAAGAAAACUCUCCGCCAAUUUCGCUUUUUUUUUUUUUUGGGUUCAAAUAUAUGGAAAGGAGAGAAAGGUAUGGGGAACAACAGUAUCUUUGACUUUUGUGUGUGUUUGUUUCCUUUUUAGUUUUUAUUUUAUUUUGGGGUUUGGUGUUUUAGUUGUGAAGGGGGAGAGAGAGUGAGAAAGAGGAGUUGAAGUGGCUGCGAGAAAAUUUUGUAACAGCCCGCAACUACUUUAAGUAUUUUACAAUGGUUGGGUUGUUGUAAGCUACAACUUGUAACGUUUAAUUUCAUGUAAUCUAAAUCAUGGUUGUGUUAGACUGUUAGUACUCAUCCUCUGGUUUGUUUUUAACUAGCCAAUUACAAAAGAGUUACUCUAGGAGUAAGUGUGAAGUUAAUGCACGUUAGUGAUAGAUCCACGGGGAUCCCACUUAGGAUUUGGUAACGAGAAACAAGAAUAAUUCAAUGGCUAUAGGUGUAAAUGCCUUUAAUGAGUGGGAACUGUUUUUUUGACCGAUGAAUUAAAAAAGUAAAUAAUAAAAGUAUUUCCCGACAGCAUUUGAUGCAAACGUAACAUAAGUCUACACUUGCUAUUCAUUUUUCGGGACUUUUUCUUUUGGUGAUAUGAACGGAGCAUGUCUUCUCCACUUAUAAAUUUAGAUAAAGUUAAUUAUUCACUUCCAUUAUAAGUACAUUUUAAUUGUUUUGUACUAUUACUCAAUUUACCAUGAAAGUAUUUGUGUAAACACUAUUCUAUUCUACAUUACAAUGGCAAUAGAUGACGAAAAUCGUGGCCAUAUGUUUAACUCUCUACCAUUUUUGCUAUAUACACUUUUGAUAUUUCUCUUGAAACGUCCCAUAACCAUGGUCCCUGACCGUGAUAACUCGCUGUAGAUCCAUUCCUUCAGAGAUUCAUUGUCAUCUGUGACAUCUUUCAUGUGCCAUGCAGAAGCUGUAGAACCACAAUCUUUUUCUUGCUCAAAACACCACGUAAGCUUCUAAUUACACUACUACUACUACUACAAAUAAGAACCUCCAUCACAGAUUCACAGUAGAGGUUACUUUCAGGUGUUUAUCUGAUUUUCAGUUAGAUUCUUACUGACAUAAUAGUGAAUAAUCACAAUAGCCAUUACUGAACAAUACAACUGCCUCAUAAUGCUCUCUCUAUAGUCUAUACAGAGAAAAUAACUUGAUGGAAGAUAACCAAAGCUGCUUUGUAUAGUUUACAACUCUAUAUCGACCAUUGAGUAUAUUCAAAUAAAAAUGCAUCCUAAGGAAGAUGUAUGAUAAGUCAGGUAAGCCUUUUGAAGUGCAUUUUCAAAUUUUAUGGAUUUAAAUCUUUUAAUAUCAUUCACUGAAUAACAAUUCUUUAAAUUUGCUCACUCGUCGCUGGAGUAUACACAUCAUAGACAUAAGCCUAAUCUAUAAAGCCAAGUCCUCACUUCUCUAACGUACUUUUUCAGUCCCUUCAUCCUCAGAGCACUGACCAACCCAAAAGGCAAAGUUUCACUUGAACCAAGUCUCCUCUUCAAAGCCAUUCAAUUGGCAAAACAGGAGAUGUGUCCAAUCCAGGACAUCAACAAGAAACAGCUUCUUCUGCCUCUGGCUUAGACUCUUGACCAUCCGUCUCAGCUAGUAAAGGGCUUUUCUGGAACUUAUUCCUCAGCUGACCACAAGCAGCAUUCGCUUCAAGCCCUCUUGUUUGCCUCACGCUUGCUGUUAUCUUACGCGACUCCAAUGCAGCCGCAAAGGCCAGGACCUGCACGAUCCAUUAACUAAAGAGAUUAGAGACUUACUGCAGCCAAAGUACAGACCAAACCGAAGACAGAAGGCUCAGGCCUAAUUGUUAUCAACAUACCGCUUUCUUGUAAGGUCGCUUGUACUCUGAUCCUUCAAUAGGGUUGUAAGGUAUCAAGUUUACGUGAUACGUUUUGCCCCAUUCACGUAGUAGCUCCGCGAGUUCUAAAGCGUUCUCAACUGAAUCAUUGACUCCAGCUGCAUCAUCAUUUACCAGCUUGUGUUAAAGUUAAAAUGAUAUAAACGAAGGAGAAAAAACAUUAAAGUUAGCUUAUCUCAAGUCUCAGUCACACACCUAGAAGAGCAUAUUCGAAGGAGACUCGUCUAUUAGUUUCUUGAAAGUAAUCACGACAAUCACUCAUAAUUGCUUCCAGAGGAUAAGCCUUGGCACUUGGUACAAUCUUCUCCCGGAGACUCUGGUUUGGAGCAUGUAAGCUGAUUGGCCAGAAGAAAAGUGAGUGAACAAUAUAAAAGAUCUGGCAAUUGAAGAAAGAAGAAGCACCUGACAGCUAAGGUGGACUGAAGCUUAUGAGCGGCAAGCUUUUUGAUUGUGUUUGGAACACCAACUGUCGAUAUUGUAAUCAUUCGUUGUCCGAUUUCAAUGUCCUGAAUGUAAAAGAAAAGCAUACCAAGAGUGACUGCUAUGUCUUAUUGUUCAACUCAAUAUCUCUACACAAGAUAUAAACGAGAAAAUCAAGUUCAACUAGUUUACAACUUACAGUCAUACUAAUCCAUCAAACAUGAUUUUUUUUUUAAUAUUCAAGCAGUUGUCUUGGCUUGUGGAUUUAUUCACUUAGCAAGGAACUUCAUUGAUUUCUAUACAGAACCAUGUAGAUAUGGAACAUGACAAAGGGCAAAAGUUACCUUGUUUAAACAACGAUGAGCAUCUAGCACUGACUUUAGGUUCAACAUGGGCUCACCCAUUCCCAUGAAAACCACAUUUGUCACUCUGUGCUUGAACACAUCCUCAAUAGCAAGCACCUAGAAGAUUUAAAACCACACUUGAAAAUUCAAAGCCACAUUUACAUGGGAUCAAAUCAUCAAACGACUACUCUUCUUGAAAGUGUUGUAUAGAGUAUUCUACUUAAGAUUUUAUGCAAAAGUAUUUUAUCUUGGAACCAAAACUCCAAUUCAUAAAUCUGUAUCGUGCACUCUUUUUCAUUAUCAUUCCAUAAGUAUAUUUCAUUUACCUAAUCCAUAAGCUGAAAAAAGAUGUGAUAUAAAACUAAACCUGCUCAAUGAUUUCAUGUCUCUGAAGAUUUCUUGAAAACCCUCCUUUCCCCGUAGCACAAAACGAGCAACGCAGAGGACAUCCAACCUAAAGCAAAGAGCUUCAAAACAUCAACUAUGCAAACAAAAACACACACACAAAUCUAUAAACUACAAGAAAGUACAAUUCACCUGGGAAGAGACACAGGCAGUAAGGCGCGUUAUGCCCUUCUCUUCCUGGACCGGUAUACCAACAGUUUCAAUCAACAGGUUAUCUUCAAGCUUCAACAGCAGCUAUAAAGAUAAAAACAACAUAACACAAAACAUCAGUGUCCAAAAACCAGUCUAGGCGGCGACUAAAAGGCAAAUCGGGUCUGAACCAAUCCAGAAUAUUUUUUUAAUAAAAUUGGUCUAGAGGCCGCCCAAACAAUAAUCUUCUAUAAGACGCCUAACCACCACCUAGCAAUUUCUAGAACAUUGCAAAACAUUGAAAACCGUAGACAUCAAUCAAACAAAAACAUGAGUAAGCCAUCAGUUAUGUUGAAGUACCUUGAUGGUACCAUCAGUGGCAGUAACAGUUUGGUAUAUGGGUGAUCUUCCCACCUUGUAUCCACUUUCCACUAGCUCUUUUCUAAACGUUUGUGGCACUAUCAUAAUCAAAGAUUGGUUAAAUCAUAUCUGCACACAUGUCUAAAAAAGAAAGCUAAAUCAUUUGCUCACAGUUACUAAAGUCUUCAACUUGUUUAGCCUUCCUCUUGUAGAUAAGAUGAUGAAGCUGCUUCCCUCUGUAACCUUCCUGCAAAACAAUUUCACCGUAAAGUCAGAAACUUUUCUCAAACUUUCUUGUUUCUAAAAUCAUAAAGUUGGAUGCUUUACUUGACCGAGUUUGAUAGCGAGCUGUUGAAGCUCCGGCUCCGACAUCCCGAGGAGGACCUGAGAGUCCACGUGCAUUAAAAACCAAUCUUUGGAAAACCCAGUGGGACAAAACCAAAGAUAGGGAAAAAGAGCACACAUAUGUUACUUGCUCAUUUGAUGUCUAUCUUGGAGCUGAGAUGGCUUGAAUUGUGGCAAGUGUGUCUUGGUUGAUCAAGCUUCUUCCAAGACUCUCUUCUUGCUUCAGUGAUAUCUUAAGUAAUCCUCCAAUGGCUUCAUUGAGUUGCUUGCUUCUGGCUCGAGUCAUAGGACCUUCAGAUAUGAUUUACAACAAAAUAGUAUGUUUAUCUAUGAUAAAAAAAAUGCAACUAUGGAUUUAGUUUAUUAGGUGUUCUCUAAUGCACUAAUCCAUAAAUUAAAUUCUCUUAAAUUUUGCUUGACAUGUAAAAUAUGAGUGAUUAGACGAGUGUUAAACAAAUGUUGGUCCUUGGAUUUUGUAGGGUGCCUUGUAGAAAGAGAGGAGGGAUAAGGUUCACAAUAAACGGUCACCGUUACUUCAACUUGGUUCUGAUCACUAACGUGGCGGGAGCAGGAGACAUAGUGAGGACGAACGUGAAAGGUUCACGGACUGGUUGGAUGAGUUUGAGCAGAAACUGGGGUCAGAACUGGCAAUCUAACGCUGUUUUGGUUGGUCAGUCACUUUCUUUCCGCGUUACAGGCAGUGACCGUAGAACCUCUACUUCAUGGAACAUUGUUCCUUCUAACUGGCAGUUUGGUCAAACAUUUGUCGGGAAGAAUUUCAGGGUCUAAAAGCGAGUUUCGAGACGGAAGAAAACUCUCCGCCAAUUUCGCUUUUUUUUUUUUUGGGUUCAAAUAUAUGGAAAGGAGAGAAAGGUAUGGGGAACAACAGUAUCUUUGACUUUUGUGUGUGUUUGUUUCCUUUUUAGUUUUUAUUUUAUUUUGGGGUUUGGUGUUUUAGUUGUGAAGGGGGAGAGAGAGUGAGAAAGAGGAGUUGAAGUGGCUGUGAGAAAAUUUUGUAACAGCCCGCAACUACUUCAAGUAUUUUACAAUGGUUGGGUUGUUGUAAGUUAGAACUUGUAACGUUUAAUUUCAUGUAAUCUAAAAUAUGGUUGUGUUAGACUGUUAGUACUAAUCUUCUGGUUUGUUUUUAACUAGCCAAUUACAAAAGAGUUACUCUAGGAGUAAGUGUGAAGUUAAUGCACGUUAGUGAUAGAUCCACG
RNAcentral lists this long non-coding RNA (5373 nucleotides) under Brassica napus (rape). RNAcentral describes it as "long non-coding RNA (BNAP_LNC003953)". Lineage: Eukaryota; Viridiplantae; Streptophyta; Magnoliopsida; Brassicales; Brassicaceae. The record is from RNAcentral.